Molecule: ribosomal RNA, 254 nt
Filed under: uncultured bacterium
Lineage: Bacteria
Also listed under: 1 other name
Description: partial 16S ribosomal RNA
Rfam family: Bacterial small subunit ribosomal RNA
Source: RNAcentral
UACGUAGGACCCAAGCGUUAUCCGGAUUGACUGGGCGUAAAGAGUUGCGUAGGUGGUUUAUUAAGCGAAUAGUGAAAUCUUGUGGCUCAACCAUAAGGCUAUUAUUUGAACUGGUAGACUCGAGAGUAGGAGAGGCAUCUGGAAUUUUUAGUGUAGGGGUAAAAUCCGUAGAUACUAGAAGGAACACCAAUGGCGUAGGCAGGAUGCUGGCCUAUUUCUGACACUGAGGCACGAAAGCGUGGGGAGCGAACCGG